GUAGGUGGGGUAACGGCUCACCUAGGCGACGAUCCCUAGCUGGUCUGAGAGGAUGACCAGCCACACUGGAACUGAGACACGGUCCAGACUCCUACGGGAGGCAGCAGUGGGGAAUAUUGCACAAUGGGCGCAAGCCUGAUGCAGCCAUGCCGCGUGUAUGAAGAAGGCCUUCGGGUUGUAAAGUACUUUCAGCGGGGAGGAAGGGAGUAAAGUUAAUACCUUUGCUCAUUGACGUUACCCGCAGAAGAAGCACCGGCUAACUCCGUGCCAGCAGCCGCGGUAAUACGGAGGGUGCAAGCGUUAAUCGGAAUUACUGGGCGUAAAGCGCACGCAGGCGGUUUGUUAAGUCAGAUGUGAAAUCCCCGGGCUCAACCUGGGAACUGCAUCUGAUACUGGCAAGCUUGAGUCUCGUAGAGGGGGGUAGAAUUCCAGGUGUAGCGGUGAAAUGCGUAGAGAUCUGGAGGAAUACCGGUGGCGAAGGCGGCCCCCUGGACGAAGACUGACG
RNAcentral lists this ribosomal RNA (505 nucleotides) under Escherichia sp. Its description in RNAcentral is "bacterial SSU rRNA". It matches the Rfam family "Bacterial small subunit ribosomal RNA", at positions 248 to 745 of the family's 1533-position model. Lineage: Bacteria; Pseudomonadati; Pseudomonadota; Gammaproteobacteria; Enterobacterales; Enterobacteriaceae. The record is from RNAcentral.